This 494-nucleotide ribosomal RNA is filed under the name uncultured bacterium. RNAcentral describes it as "partial 16S ribosomal RNA". It matches the Rfam family "Bacterial small subunit ribosomal RNA", at positions 29 to 523 of the family's 1533-position model. The record is from RNAcentral.
AUCGAACGCUGGCGGCAUGCUUUACACAUGCAAGUCGAACGGUAACAGGUUAAGCUGACGAGUGGCGAACGGGUGAGUAAUGCAUCGGAACGUGCCCGGUCGUGGGGGAUAACGCAGCGAAAGCUGCGCUAAUACCGCAUACGAUCUGAGGAUGAAAGCGGGGGACCGUAAGGCCUCGCGCGAUCGGAGCGGCCGAUGUCAGAUUAGGUAGUUGGUGGGGUAAAGGCUCACCAAGCCAACGAUCUGUAGCUGGUCUGGAGAGGACGACCAGCCACACUGGGACUGAGACACGGCCCAGACUCCUACGGGAGGCAGCAGUGGGGAAUUUUGGACAAUGGGCGAAAGCCUGAUCCAGCAAUGCCGCGUGCAGGAAGAAGGCCUUCGGGUUGUAAACUGCUUUUGUACGGAGCGAAAAGGUCUCCUCUAAUACAGGGGGCUCAUGACGGUACCGUAAGAAUAAGCACCGGCUAACUACAUGCCAGCCGCCGCCGUAA